CCCUCAUUUCUUGCCUCUCUUUUCUUUUGCUUCAGACUGUGGUUGUAGGUUCCUACCUCAUCGCCCAAGGAUUCUUCAGUGUCUACAAUAUGUGUGUUGACACGCUGUUCCUCUGUUUCUUGGAAGACCUGGAGCGCAAUGAUGGUUCCCAGGAGAAGCCGUAUUACAUGUCCAAGUCUCUUAUGAAGAUCCUGAACAAGAAAAACAAGAAGGCCAAGGACAAAUAGGAAAACCCGGGACUGGAGGAAACUCCUCAACUUAUGUUAUUGGUCCCCAUCAUUUCUUCUUCAUUUUUUUUUUGCAUCCAUAUCAGAGAUAACUUAAUGUUCUUCCCUUCCCCUUCACACAAUGUUGUGUGGACUUCCACAAGAUGACUUGAAACUCUUCCUCAUAUUUUUUUCCCCCAUAUUGCCAACCCACCCAUAUUGCUGUUUAUUGUGCAGAUUGUCUAUUUAUGAAUAAUUGAUCUAUUUAAUUUCUCUCCUGUGCCAUGGGCCUCUUUUUGGAAUCCUUCUUUUGAUCUCCGUCUUCCAAAAAUGUUUUUUUUUGGCCACCGCUCUGCUUCCUUGGUCUGGGAUCAUUUAACCGAUCACAGCUGUCCUGCACUCGUUCUGGUCAACUGUCUUUUCAGAUGGGUCAAAAUCAGGGCUCUUUUCGUAGUCUUUGGUUGUCCACUUGCUCCAUUUGUAAAAUACAACCUUUUUAUAGCUACGUUCCUGGCCCAAAACAGGCAGUGUGGUGAACCACAAUAAAGCUCCUUCUUAAAUCGUGUCAUGCAGAAGCAAAUCUUCUCCUGGUGCCAUCAACAAUCUCAGAAAAAUCUUGCUUCCCUGGCAUGUUGAGUGGAUGCCCUCUGAAAAGAGUGCCUUGGGCCAGGUGCCCAGAUGUUCUCCAGAUGUUUUGAAUGUGAACUUCCGAGCUGGAGUCAGAACCCAAAUCAUUUUGAUUGCUCGGUCUAUCCUUCUUCAGCUUCGAUGACUGUUAGCACAUGGUUGGCCUUUUCAGAGAUACUUGGGUUAUUUUCUAAAGGGCUGUUCCUACCUUCUCUCUCUGCUUUAUAUUUUUAUCCUUGACUGUUUUUAGAGAUUAAACCUGGCGUGUUGUUGAAUUCCUGUUCCUGACUCCUUCCCCAGCCAAAGACUUUUCUGAAACUGGUAAUUAUUCCAAGGUGCCAUCUUGUAUUUCAGAUCAAAUUGUUCUUUUUCCUCCUGAGCCAAUUCUCUUUCUGAAUGUUUUACCGGUUGAAUUGUUCAAUAUUGCACUGGCCAAGCACCAAAUGACAAAUGGUUUUCGGUACGCUGAAUGUCGGCCAUCUUAUUUCCUAAGUGCCUUUGUGGAUAAACUCCAUUUCUGAUAUUGUAGUGCCAACAUUUGGCCCAAGUUUUUGAUUUACCAAGCCAGCUUAAUUCACGCCAAAUCCGUCACCUCUAUUUUUGCUUUAUUUCCCUCACUUUUUUUUCUCCGCAAUGGUCUUCCUCUCUUUUUUCUUUCCAGGGUAUCUCUUGCCAUUAAAAAAUAAAAAUCAUAUUGUGGCAAGAUGCAAAACACCAACUCUGUUCUUCGGAUCAAUUUAUAUCUUAUGCAACGGUGCCGUUGCAGGCAUUUCCUGUACAUAGCUUUUUCUCUGAUGUAUAAAAAUUGAAAAAAUGUUUUAUAUAAAGAAUAUGUGUAUAUUAAAUAUGAUUUUAAAAUAA
Molecule: non-coding RNA, 1694 nt
Organism: Thamnophis sirtalis
Lineage: Eukaryota; Metazoa; Chordata; Lepidosauria; Squamata; Natricidae
Source: RefSeq, a predicted model, not a curated record